Molecule: ribosomal RNA, 254 nt
Filed under: uncultured bacterium
Lineage: Bacteria
Description: partial 16S ribosomal RNA
Rfam family: Bacterial small subunit ribosomal RNA
Source: RNAcentral
UACGUAGGGGGCGAGCGUUGUCCGGAUUUAUUGGGCGUAAAGAGCUCGUAGGCGGUUUGGCAAGUCGGGUGUGAAAACUCCGGGCUCAACUCGGAGACGCCACUCGAUACUGCCAUGACUUGAGUCCGGUAGGGGAGUGCGGAAUUCCUGGUGUAGCGGUGAAAUGCGCAGAUAUCAGGAGGAACACCGAUGGCGAAGGCAGCCCCCUGGGCUGACACUGACGCUCAUGCACGAAAGCGUGGGGAGCAAACAGG